AGUGAACGCUGGCGGUAGGCCUAACACAUGCAAGUCGAACGGCAGCACAGUAAGAGCUUGCUCUUACGGGUGGCGAGUGGCGGACGGGUGAGGAAUACAUCGGAAUCUACUUUUUCGUGGGGGAUAACGUAGGGAAACUUACGCUAAUACCGCAUACGACCUACGGGUGAAAUCAGGGGAUCUUCGGACCUUGCGCGAUUGAAUGAGCCGAUGUCGGAUUAGCUAGUUGGCGGGGUAAAGGCCCACCAAGGCGACGAUCCGUAGCUGGUCUGAGAGGAUGAUCAGCCACACUGGAACUGAGACACGGUCCAGACUCCUACGGGAGGCAGCAGUGGGGAAUAUUGGACAAUGGGCGCAAGCCUGAUCCAGCAAUACCGCGUGGGUGAAGAAGGCCUUCGGGUUGUAAAGCCCUUUUGUUGGGAAAGAAAAGCAGCAGGUUAAUACCCCGCUGUUCUGACGGUACCCAAAGAAUAAGCACCGGCUAACUUCGUG
RNAcentral lists this ribosomal RNA (492 nucleotides) under uncultured bacterium. Its description in RNAcentral is "partial 16S ribosomal RNA". It matches the Rfam family "Bacterial small subunit ribosomal RNA", at positions 29 to 507 of the family's 1533-position model. The record is from RNAcentral.